GGCCUGGAAGACAACAUGGCUUGUAAUUAUUAGACAUACAUGUGUUUGGUUAUCUAUCUGAAGGUAUUGAAUAUCGUACAGUUAACAUGUCUUGUAGUAAUCGCUUAGAUGAAGAGGAAUUGGGGCAUAGAUUGAAGUCAGCGGGCAGUUCUGAUUUGGUUUACAUGUUCAUGACUAUCCCUUGGGUUCUCUCUAGUCUCUCUAACACAUACAUGCAGCAAGCCACACUUCUUGCUCCCACACACGGCGGCACACUGUCCCCACAAGCUAACUAGUCAUGCAUAGUAAUCUGAUCGUUCAGCCUGGCUCUGAAUCACUACUACAAAAAACCCUUACCGUGACCUUUUCAAAAGCCCCUUCGAGACGGGU
Molecule: long non-coding RNA, 369 nt
Filed under: Sorghum bicolor (sorghum)
Lineage: Eukaryota; Viridiplantae; Streptophyta; Magnoliopsida; Poales; Poaceae
Description: long non-coding RNA (SBIC_LNC014908)
Source: RNAcentral